CUUAACACAUGCAAGUCGAACGAGAAUCUGCGGAAAGAGGAUUCGUCCAAUUGAAGCAGAGGACAGUGGCGGACGGGUGAGUAACGCGUGAGGAACCUGCCUUUCAGAGGGGGACAACAGUUGGAAACGACUGCUAAUACCGCAUGACACAUUAGGGUCGCAUGGCCCUGAUGUCAAAGAUUUAUCGCUGAAAGAUGGCCUCGCGUCUGAUUAGCUAGUUGGUGAGGUAACGGCCCACCAAGGCGACGAUCAGUAGCCGGACUGAGAGGUUGAACGGCCACAUUGGGACUGAGAUACGGCCCAGACUCCUACGGGAGGCAGCAGUGGGGAAUAUUGGGCAAUGGGCGCAAGCCUGACCCAGCAACGCCGCGUGAAGGAAGAAGGCUUUCGGGUUGUAAACUUCUUUUGUCAGGGACGAGUAGAAGACGGUACCUGACGAAUAAGCCACGGCUAACUACGUGCCAGCAGCCGCGGUAAUACGUGGGUGGCAAGCGUUGUCCGGAUUUACUGGGUGUAAAGGGCGUGUAGCCGGGAGGGCAAGUCAGAUGUGAAUCCACGGGCUUAACUCGUGAACUGCAUUUGAAACUGUUCUUCUUGAGUAUCGGAGAGGCAAUCGGAAUUCCUAGUGUAGCGGUGAAAUGCGUAGAUAUUAGGAGGAACACCAGUGGCGAAGGCGGAUU
RNAcentral lists this ribosomal RNA (680 nucleotides) under uncultured Lachnospiraceae bacterium. Its description in RNAcentral is "bacterial SSU rRNA". It matches the Rfam family "Bacterial small subunit ribosomal RNA", at positions 47 to 727 of the family's 1533-position model. Lineage: Bacteria; Bacillati; Bacillota; Clostridia; Lachnospirales; Lachnospiraceae. The record is from RNAcentral.